GGGUUGUGAGGUUAAGCGACCAAGCGUACACGGUGGAUGCCCUGGCAGUCAGAGGCGAUGAAGGACGUGCUAAUCUGCGAAAAGCGGCGGUAAGGUGAUAUGAACCGUUAUAACCGGCGAUGUCCGAAUGGGGAAACCCAGUGUGACUCGUCACACUAUCAUUAACUGAAUCCAUAGGUUAAUGAGGCGAACCGGGGGAACUGAAACAUCUAAGUACCCCGAGGAAAAGAAAUCAACCGAGAUUCCCCCAGUAGCGGCGAGCGAACGGGGAGGAGCCCAGAGCCUGAAUCAGCAUGUGUGUUAGUGGAAGCGUCUGGAAAGGCGCGCGAUACAGGGUGACAGCCCCGUACACAAAAGCGCAUGUGCUGUGAGCUCGAUGAGUAGGGCGGGACACGUGGUAUCCUGUCUGAAUAUGGGGGGACCAUCCUCCAAGGCUAAAUACUCCUGACUGACCGAUAGUGAACCAGUACCGUGAGGGAAAGGCGAAAAGAACCCCGGCGAGGGGAGUGAAACAGAACCUGAAACCGUGUACGUACAAGCAGUGGGAGCNNGUGACUGCGUACCUUUUGUAUAAUGGGUCAGCGACUUAUAUUCUGUAGCAAGGUUAACCGUAUAGGGGAGCCGGAGGGAAACCGAGUCUUAAUUGGGCGUUAAGUUGCAGGGUAUAGACCCGAAACCCGGUGAUCUAGCCAUGGGCAGGUUGAAGGUUGGGUAACACUAACUGGAGGACCGAACCGACUAAUGUUGAAAAAUUAGCGGAUGACCUGUGGCUGGGGGUGAAAGGCCAAUCAAACCGGGAGAUAGCUGGUUCUCCCCGAAAGCUAUUUAGGUAGCGCCUCGUGAAUUCAUCUCCGGGGGUAGAGCAC
This 866-nucleotide ribosomal RNA is filed under the name Salmonella enterica subsp. arizonae serovar 18:z4,z23:- str. CVM 43478. RNAcentral's name for it is "bacterial LSU rRNA". It matches the Rfam family "Bacterial large subunit ribosomal RNA", at positions 1 to 910 of the family's 2925-position model. The record is from RNAcentral. Lineage: Bacteria; Pseudomonadati; Pseudomonadota; Gammaproteobacteria; Enterobacterales; Enterobacteriaceae.